AGUCGAGCGGACUUUUAAAGCUUGCUUUUGAAAGGUCAGCGGCGGACGGGUGAGUAACACGUGGGCAACCUGCCUGUAAGACUGGGAUAACUUCGGGAAACCGGAGCUAAUACCGGAUAAUAUAAGGAACCUCCUGGUUCUUUAUUGAAAGAUGGUUUCGGCUAUCACUUACAGAUGGGCCCGCGGCGCAUUAGCUAGUUGGUGAGGUAAUGGCUCACCAAGGCGACGAUGCGUAGCCGACCUGAGAGGGUGAUCGGCCACACUGGGACUGAGACACGGCCCAGACUCCUACGGGAGGCAGCAGUAGGGAAUCUUCCACAAUGGACGAAAGUCUGAUGGAGCAACGCCGCGUGAGCGAUGAAGGCCUUCGGGUCGUAAAGCUCUGUUGUUAGGGAAGAACAAGUGCGAGAGUAACUGCUCGCACCUUGACGGUACCUAACCAGAAAGCCACGGCUAACUACGUGCCAGCAGCCGCGGUAAUACGUAGGUGGCAAGCGUUGUCCGGAAUUAUUGGGCGUAAAGCGCGCGCAGGUGGUCCUUUAAGUCUGAUGUGAAAGCCCACGGCUCAACCGUGGAGGGUCAUUGGAAACUGGGGGACUUGAGUGCAGAAGAGGAAAGUGGAAUUCCAAGUGUAGCGGUGAAAUGCGUAGAGAUUUGGAGGAACACCAGUGGCGAAGGCGACUUUCUGGUCUGUAACUGACACUGAGGCGCGAAAGCGUGGGGAGCAAACAGGAUUAGAUACCCUGGUAGUCCACGCCGU
This 760-nucleotide ribosomal RNA is filed under the name Bacillus sp. CH449a2. Its description in RNAcentral is "bacterial SSU rRNA". It matches the Rfam family "Bacterial small subunit ribosomal RNA", at positions 60 to 803 of the family's 1533-position model. The record is from RNAcentral. Lineage: Bacteria; Bacillati; Bacillota; Bacilli; Caryophanales; Bacillaceae.